GCAUGGGGGAAACCCUGAUGCAGCGAUGCCGCGUGAGUGAAGAAGGCCUUUGGGUUGUAAAACUCUUUCGUCGGGGAAGAAAAUGACUGUACCCGAAUAAGAAGGUCCGGCUAACUUCGUGCCAGCAGCCGCGGUAAUAA
Molecule: ribosomal RNA, 140 nt
Filed under: uncultured Alphaproteobacteria bacterium
Lineage: Bacteria; Pseudomonadati; Pseudomonadota; Alphaproteobacteria
Description: partial 16S ribosomal RNA
Rfam family: Bacterial small subunit ribosomal RNA
Source: RNAcentral